GUACAAAUUAACUAAAAACACACAUAUACCGACACUGAUCUCGGGGUGUCUAACGCGUUGUUAUUACAACGUUUUGGAUCGAGAGAAGGGGUAUAUGGAGGCCUAAC
The sequence is a small RNA, 107 nucleotides long. It matches the Rfam family "t44 RNA". From Rfam's summary of the family: This family consists of a number of bacterial RNA genes of between 135 and 170 bases in length. The t44 gene is found between the map and rpsB genes in all species in the full alignment apart from Shigella flexneri. The function of this RNA is unknown. The record is from Rfam.